UCGAGCUAUAUCUAAUAAUGCGUUUUUACUUGACGCUUUUUUCGUCGACCUACGUUGUAUUAUACCUCAUAACUUUCUACUGGAUGUACCGAUUUUGAUAAUUCUUUUUUUGUUGGAAAGGAGAUAUCUCAAUUUGAUACCGUGAUAAGGAAACCAGGAUCUGAUGAUGGGAUCCCAGAGAAAUCGAGGGAAACUCUCGAAAAUCCGUAAUA
RNAcentral lists this unclassified non-coding RNA (212 nucleotides) under Melitaea cinxia (Glanville fritillary). RNAcentral describes it as "misc RNA ENSMCXG00005019661.1". Lineage: Eukaryota; Metazoa; Arthropoda; Insecta; Lepidoptera; Nymphalidae. The record is from RNAcentral.